UAGUAGAUGCACCCUGACUGAUCCCUCAGCUACCGGCUGGGGAUUUUUUUU
This is a non-coding RNA of Lyngbya majuscula, 51 nucleotides long. The record is from Rfam. NCBI's taxonomy places the organism in Bacteria, Bacillati, Cyanobacteriota, Cyanophyceae, Oscillatoriales, Microcoleaceae.